This 119-nucleotide ribosomal RNA is filed under the name Pteropus alecto (black flying fox). The record is from RNAcentral. Lineage: Eukaryota; Metazoa; Chordata; Mammalia; Chiroptera; Pteropodidae.
GUCUAUGGCCAUGCCAUCCUGAACGUGCCUGAUCUCAUCUGAUCUUGGAAGCUAAGCAGUGUUGGGCCUGGUUAGUACUUGUAUGGGAGACCACCUAGGAAGACCAGGUGCUGCUGGCG